UACGGAAGGGGCAAGCGUUGUUCGGAAUCAUUGGGCGUAAAGGGCGCGUAGGUGGUUUUGUAUGUCUACCGUGAAAGCGUACGGCUCAACCGUAUUUUGUCGGUGGAAACUGCAGGACUUGAGGCUGGGAGGGGCUGGUGGAAUUCCCUGUGUAGCGGUGAAAUGCGUAGAGAUGGGGGAGAACACUCGUGGCGAAGGCGGCCAGCUAGACCAGUUCUGACACUGAGGCGCGACAGCGUGGGGAGCGAACAGG
This 253-nucleotide ribosomal RNA is filed under the name uncultured bacterium. RNAcentral describes it as "partial 16S ribosomal RNA". It matches the Rfam family "Bacterial small subunit ribosomal RNA", at positions 524 to 776 of the family's 1533-position model. The record is from RNAcentral.